UUGCUUUUCGCCGGGACGAGACCGCGUGUUAAUUCUAUACCGUUGAAGGUAUCACUUUGGCCAGAGCUAACUAGACAGUUGAUGAGGACCGUUGUCAGGACCGUGAAAUUUAUAAAGAAUUUUUUCAAGGAAGAAGUAAUAAUUUGUAGACGUAUUGUCUAACUACGUGUAGAAGUACGAAAAAAUUCAUAGCUACGUGCUUGGUACUAACAGAUGCUGUGAAAAAGCGGUACAAAAAUAUUGAUGAUCGUGUCAUUGAAAGUACAAUAAUUGAUUGGUUCCGGCGAGCAUCGGAUAGGAUUCCGAAGGUUUGCAAUGAGGCGAAAUAAUUUCUAUCGAAGUUAAUUUAUCUACGAUUUUCUAUCUCGUACGAACCGCUGUGGUUCAAGAAGAAGCAAGAUCCGUACACGGACAGUCGUUGUUUCGUUUAUAAUAUUGGGAUCACAAGAGCAGAGGUGACUGCGGUUGCGAUGUCCAAACAUAUUUUAGUUUGUUAUAUAGAUAGAUUUUAUUGUGUGAUGUGACUUUGUCACAUACACAUGCAGUGUGCAGAGAAAUUUUGGAUCGUUUAAAAGUGACGGUAGCCGAGACUAGAAGUCGCGACCGUUCGCGGUCGAGACUUUAAAUGCUUAUGAAAUAACGUUGACGUGAUAAUGGGGUUGUUAUGGGAUAUGGUUUAGCAAUUAAUUCUUCCAAUGAAGUGGACGAAACUUGUUGGCAACUCUGACAUGUGCAAUGUGUAAUUUGUACUUGCAUGUCAUCGCCAUCGCCUAUUCUUUAACUCUUCUACCUCUGUCCCUUUCCUCCCCCUUUUUUCUUCCCUGUCUUUCUUUUCGUCUCUUCUUUUCUCUAGUACUGUAGUAAUAUUUAGUCCAACGUGAUGUUUGAUUAACAUGCGCUUGCGUGCUCUUUUUUUUUUAAGAUUUUGCGCUGAAUUAAUGAAUAGUCAAUCUUGAAUUUUUCAGUUCGAUUUGUAAGUGCGUUUUAUUAUACAUAUUAGGUAUAUGUAUGAGUUUGUAAAAAAUUGAAACUCUCAGGCAAGUCGAAUGAAUUCCAGAUAUUAUUUUUAGCCUAAAACUGAGAGAUAGCAAUAAGACCGUAUAGAAAAGAAAAAACCUAUUGUCAUUAGAGAGAAAGGAUUUCGAAGUUACAUGUUUCACUUUAUAAUAUAUUCAGUAUUCUCAACUUAUUUUUAAACGAAUAUGAAUCUAGUUUUCUAGAAAUUAAUCCGAGUUUAAGUUAUACCGCACUCAAUCGGUGCUGCUAUAUAUACGAAAAUUGUGUGUAUUUUAUUAUUUUUAAUCCAUUAUUGAAAGUAUUUGUGUAAACGCAGAUAGAUGUGCAAUGAGGAAUAGAAUCGAGCCGACAUUUGACAUGAAUUAAUAUAAAAGAUGCGCUGAUUUUUCUUUUAUAUAUGAUCUUUUACAUCAUUUUUAUAGAAAUAAAGAACACCUCCAUCUUAAGAAGCCAAUUGAACUUCGAUACGCAUCGGUAUUUGUAAUUUUUCCCUUGUUGCACACUUUCUGCUUGACCUAGUGUCACAACAAAGAAAGCCUGAAAAAUAUUCAUAAAGUGGAAAAAUAAAUCCUUACGGUAUUGUACGUGAAUUCGAAGAUCCGUGCAACUGCACACGUUUAAAGGUUUAUUCAGUGAUUUAUGAAUACGCGCGCGCGAGAAGAUAGACAUUUGUUCAACAUUUUACACACGUAAUAUAACGCCGACGACGAUGAUGCUUCCAAGUUUGGCCAGCGUUGUUCUAUGGAAAAAAGAAGGAAAAAAAAAGAAAUUAUGCCAUUUCACGUCCGCACAGAUUUCAAGCACGCUAGAAGCUACGCUCUGAGUUUUCAAUCAAUUUUAGAAGUGUUUGGAAACAUCUAGUUAUUUUUUAUCAAAAUGUUUUUAUUUGAAAAUGGAACGCACAAUAAAAUAGGGUUUAAUUUCUUGCCUUUGAUAACAAGAAUUUAAUAUGGCCGUGAUGACUAUCCAUGAGUCUUAAAAAUGAGGAACUUUCUUUUUUUAUGCUUCUUUUACCUAUAUGGUUCUAUAUGCAGAACAUAGUCAAUAGUUCUUGUAAUAAAUGUUUGUGUUGGGGAUUCCCCCAAUUUAGCAAUGUAAAAAUUAUAUCUUAAACCGUUAUAUGUACUGCGAUAUACGUUUCGUUUGCUUCUCACGCAAAAUGCGCGAUAAGUUCGGAACCGCCGGAAGAAGCCGAGCCGCGCCGAAGGCGAGCGCGUGUCAGCAUCCCUACGCGGCUCGCCCGACCGUCGGCCUCCCUUCCAACGAACCCGCCGCGCCGCGGUAUAUAAGCCGGCGCUCCGACAGGAGCAGGCACUUCGUCUUAUCUCCGGCUCUCUGCUGCCUUCGACGAAGCCUACCCUAUCCAACUUCCUAGGGCGACACAUAAAACGAGGUCCGGUGCUCCGAGUCUUGACUGAGUGCUCUCAGGUGUCCCCGAACUCCAGCCUACCAAACCGACGAUCACGAUUUCGCGGGGUCGAGCACGCUCGGUCUCGUAGCGAGCCCUCUCGCUGUCGUGGCCCCGGUGCUUCGUUUUCUGCCGUAUCCACCUACCGCGUCUCUGUAGGCAUCGGACGUUAGACCGCGUUUCGCAACUCCGUCACACCGCGACAAUUGCAUCCGCGAUACCGUCUAUCGUUUCUACCGCUUUUCUGUGCGCACGUUAUGUAAAUCGCAUUUCAAAACUACGCAUACUACAAGUCACAGCGCGCCGAGUGCAUUCGCACUAAUUUCUCUGUACAUUUCGCGUUUCGUCAGUUUUGUUCUAUUAUAUCGAAUAAAGU
This is a long non-coding RNA of Temnothorax curvispinosus, 2801 nucleotides long. RefSeq lists it as uncharacterized. The transcript is spliced from 3 exons. The record is from RefSeq and is a predicted model, not a curated record. Lineage: Eukaryota; Metazoa; Arthropoda; Insecta; Hymenoptera; Formicidae.